UACGUAGGGCGCAAGCGUUGUCCGGAAUUAUUGGGCGUAAAGAGCUCGUAGGCGGUUUGUCGCGUCUGCCGUGAAAACCCGAGGCUUAACCUCGGGCCUGCGGUGGAUACGGGCAGACUAGAGGUGAGGUAGGGGAGAAUGGAAUUCCCGGUGUAGCGGUGAAAUGCGCAGAUAUCGGGAGGAACACCGGUGGCGAAGGCGGUUCUCUGGGCCUUACCUGACGCUGAGGAGCGAAAGCGUGGGGGAGCGAACAGG
Molecule: ribosomal RNA, 255 nt
Filed under: uncultured bacterium
Lineage: Bacteria
Description: partial 16S ribosomal RNA
Rfam family: Bacterial small subunit ribosomal RNA
Source: RNAcentral